AGUGAACGCUGGCGGUGGGCCUAACACAUGCAAGUCGAACGGCAGCACAGUAAGAGCUUGCUCUUACGGGUGGCGAGUGGCGGACGGGUGAGGAAUACAUCGGAAUCUACUUUUUCGGGGGGGAUAACGUAGGGAAACUUACGCUAAUACCGCAUAUGACGUACGGGUGAAAGCAGGGGAUCUUCGGACCUUGCGCGAUUGAAUGAGCCGAUGUCGGAUUAGCUAGUUGGGGGGGUAAAGGCCCACCAUGGCGACGAUCCGUAGCUGGUCUGAGAGGAUGGUCACCCACCUGGGAACGUGAACACGGUCCAGGCGCCUGCGGGAGGGAGCAGUGGGGAAUGUUGGGCAAUAGGGGGAAACCUGGUCCAGCCAUAGCGCGUGGGUGGAGGAAGCGUUCGGGUUGUGAAGCCCUUUUGUUGGGAGAGAAAAGCAGCAGGUUGAUACGCCGCUGUUCUGACGGUACCCGAAGAAGAAGCACCGGCUAACUUCGUG
RNAcentral lists this ribosomal RNA (492 nucleotides) under uncultured bacterium. Its description in RNAcentral is "partial 16S ribosomal RNA". It matches the Rfam family "Bacterial small subunit ribosomal RNA", at positions 30 to 507 of the family's 1533-position model. The record is from RNAcentral.